GAGUAACACGUGACUAACCUGCCCUUGAGUGGGGGAUAACCUCGGGAAACCGGGGCUAAUACCGCAUAACAUCGCAAGGUGAAAUUCCUGGCGAUCAAAGGAGCAAUUCGCUUAAGGAGGGGGUCGCGGCUGAUUAGCUAGUUGGUGAGGUAAUGGCCCACCAAGGCGAUGAUCAGUAGCCGGCCUGAGAGGGCGCACGGCCACACUGGAACUGAAACACGGUCCAGACUCCUACGGGAGGCAGCAGUGGGGAAUUUUGCGCAAUGGGGGAAACCCUGACGCAGCAACGCCGCGUGGAGGAUGAAGUCCCUUGGGAUGUAAACUCCUUUCGAUCGGGACGAUAAUGACGGUACCGGAAGAAGAAGCACCGGCUAACUCUGUGCCAGCAGCCGCGGUAAUACAGAGGGUGCAAGCGUUGUUCGGAAUUAUUGGGCGUAAAGGGCGCGUAGGCGGUGCGGUAAGUUUGUGGUGAAAUCUCCGGGCUCAACUCGGAAAUGGCCGCGAAGACUGCCGUGCUCGAGUAUGGGAGAGGUGAGUGGAAUUCCCGGUGUAGCGGUGAAAUGC
Molecule: ribosomal RNA, 564 nt
Filed under: uncultured bacterium
Lineage: Bacteria
Description: bacterial SSU rRNA
Rfam family: Bacterial small subunit ribosomal RNA
Source: RNAcentral